Molecule: long non-coding RNA, 273 nt
Organism: Pundamilia nyererei
Lineage: Eukaryota; Metazoa; Chordata; Actinopteri; Cichliformes; Cichlidae
Exons: 4
Source: RefSeq, a predicted model, not a curated record
GUAGAUGUUGGUGAAGUGAAGGACAUUCCUGAAAUAAACAAGGAAUUUUUACAUGAUGAUAUUUUGGAGCCUAUAGGCAAGCAGAGGAGUACCAUCAUUAAUGAAAACAUCCUGUGGACAUCUCCAGUCCCUUACCUCUUAAAUAAUGACCUUGACAUUAAUUCUAAAGGAGUCAUUCUGAGAGCCUUUGACCAGUUCAGGUUGAAAUCAUGCAUUGACUUCAAACCAAGGGACUCUGAGGACUAUUACAUUUCUGUCAAACAGUUAAAUGGG